GGUUGAUCCUGCCAGAGGUUACUGCUAUUGGUGUUCGACUAAGCCAUGCAAGUCAUAUGUUCCUCGUGAACAUGGCAUACUGCUCAGUAACACGUGGAUAACCUGCUUGGGUCUGGGAUAACCCCCGGGAAACUGGGGGGGAUAAUACUGGAUAACGCAUAUGUGCUGGAAUGCUUUAUGCGUAAAACGGAUUCGUCCGCCCAAGGAUGGGUCUGCGGCCUAUCAGGUAGUAGUGGGUGUAAUGUACCUACUAGCCAACAACGGGUACGGGUUGUGAGAGCAAGAGCCCGGAGAUGGAUUCUGAGACAUGAAUCCAGGCCCUACGGGGGGGCGCAGCAGGCGCGAAAACUUUACAAUGCGGGAAACCGUGAUAAGGGAACACCGAGUGCCAGCAUCAUAUGCUGGCUGUCCAGAUGUGUAAACUACAUCUGUUAGCAAGGGCCGGGCAAGACCGGUGCCAGCCGCCGCGGUAACACCGGCGGCCCGAGUGGUGACCGUUAUUAUUGGGUCUAAAGGGUCCGUAGCCGGUUUGGUCAGUCCUCCGGGAAAUCUGAUAGCUUAACUGUUAGGCUUUCGGGGGGGGAUACUGCCAGGCUUGGAACCGGGAGAGGUAAGAGGUACUACAGGGGGGGGUAGGAGUGAAAUCUUGUAAUCCCUGUGAGACCACCUGUGGCGAAGGCGCCUCACCAGAACGGGUUCGACAGUGAGGGACGAAAGCUGGGGGGGAGCAAACCGGAUUAGAUACCGGGUAGUCCCAGCCGUAAACUAUGCGCGUUAGGUGUAUCGGUGACCACGAGUUACCGAGGUGCCGAAGGGAAACCGUGAAACGUGCCGCCUGGGAAGUACGGCCGCAAGGCUGAAACUUAAAGGAAUUGGCGGGGGAGCACCACAACAGGUGGAGCCUGCGGUUUAAUUGGACUCAACG
This 925-nucleotide ribosomal RNA is filed under the name uncultured organism. RNAcentral describes it as "partial 16S ribosomal RNA". It matches the Rfam family "Archaeal small subunit ribosomal RNA", at positions 6 to 917 of the family's 1478-position model. The record is from RNAcentral.